This 304-nucleotide long non-coding RNA is filed under the name Mytilus galloprovincialis (Mediterranean mussel). The record is from RNAcentral. Lineage: Eukaryota; Metazoa; Mollusca; Bivalvia; Mytilida; Mytilidae.
CUGGGUACCUUCCGAUGAACUUUUUUAGAAAAAGGACGAGACGUUCUUUGACAUACCCCUGGUUCAUCAACUUUCUGCUCAGACACUGGUGACGUUUUACAAAGUCUGAGUAGGAGCUGCAAGCUCUAGAAUACCGAAUAAGUUGGGAAAUGUAUAUUCCAUAUGCAGGUGAAGUUGGUAUAUUGCUACUAAGGUGGGGGAAAUUGAUAAUUUCAAAAUCAAAAUCGUCUCGUUUGUCAUAGAUUCUGGUACUAAGAUGACUGUGUAUGUCAAAUUCGAGGUAUAAGUCUAAAAAUGAGGCGGA